Odocoileus virginianus texanus is the source of this 2862-nucleotide non-coding RNA. The record is from RefSeq and is a predicted model, not a curated record. Lineage: Eukaryota; Metazoa; Chordata; Mammalia; Artiodactyla; Cervidae.
ACUUGGAUUCUCUCGGGUAGAAGCAGCAGAGAUACAAGAUCUAGAAGACUAGCUCCUUUGUGAGAGUGGAUUCAGGUUCCUCCUGCCUCUGGACCUCACCGAGCCUCGGCUUUCUCGUCUGUUACGUGGGAACAACAGUCGUGAUCAUCAUCAUUUAUUGAGAACUUUCUAAAAUGCCAGCUGAGGAGAGGCACAGAGGUGGAGGUGAUCAGACCAGCGUCACACCACUUGUACGACACUAGAUUCUUCACAGGUCUUCCUAAGACUCAGCAAUUCCCAAGGAGGAGGACAAAAUGUCCAAGUUCAAGGAGGCAGUGACCUUCAACGAUGUGGCUGUGGUCUUCACAGAGGAGGAGAUGGGGCUGCUGGACUUGGCCCAGAGAAAGCUGUACCAGGAAGUGAUGCUGGAGAACUUCCGGAACCUGCUCUCAGUGGGUCAUCAAUCCUUCACACCAGAUGUACCAUCCCAGUUAGAAAGAGAAGAAAAGCUGCAAAUGAUAAAGACAGCAGCCCAGAGCUGUUGUUCCUCAGGAAAUCAGAAUCUAAAUGCCAUAGAGACUCUUGGAGAAGUUGGAUUAAUGUAUCUGCCCCACGAAGAGUUUUUCUCUCAAAAAUCUGGCUACAAGUUACAGAGGAAUUAACCAGGUGUCGAGAUUCCAUGGAAAUUAUUCAAGGAAUAGGUUCUCAAUUGGAAAAACAAAAUGACACACUCUAUAAAGAUGAGUUCAGUAAAGACUUCACUCAGAGUUCACAUCUUCAAGUUCAGUGCAGAGACUACACUGGAGGAAAACCCUAUGAAGGGGUGGAGUGUGGGAAGGAUUUCAUAUGGGGCUCUCACCUUCAAAUGAACCAGACAGCCUCCACAGGAGAGAAGCCCUAUAAAUGUGAAAAAUGUGAAAACACCUUCCGUCGGUUUUCAAGUCUUCAAGCCCAUCAGAGAGUCCACAGUAGAGCAAAACUGAAUAAUCAUGAGACGUCACAUACAGGUUUUAGUCAGAGGUCAUAUCUUCAUCAACAUCAAAGAGUCCCCACUGGAGAGAAUCCACACAGAUUAGAGGAGUGUGGGAGGAACAUCAGAAAAAUCUCACAUUUUCAGGCUCCUCUGAUAGCCCACCCAUUGGAGAAACCCUAUAAAUGUGAGGAAUGUGGGCUGGGCUUCAGUAAGCGCUCCUAUCUCCAUGUCCAUCAGAGAGUUCACACGGAAAAGAAACCUUAUCAAUGUGAAGAUCUUAAUGUUCAUUGUGGAAUCCACACAGGAGAGAAGCCCUAUAAAUGUGAGAAGUGUGGGAAAGGCUUCGGCUGGGCCUCAAGUCUUCUGGACCAUCAGAGAGGCCAUAGUGGUGAGAAACCCUAUCAAUGCGAUGCAUGCGGAAAGGGCUUUAGUCGUGGCUCAGAUCUUAACAUUCACUUUAGAAUCCAUACAGGAGAGAGACCUUACAAAUGUGAGGAGUGUGGGAAAGGUUUCAGGCAGGCCUCGCAUAUUCUGGCCCAUCAGAGAGGCCACACUGGAGAAAAACCGUACAAAUGUGGUACAUGUGGGAAGGGCUUCAGCCGGAAUUCACAUCUUAACGUUCAUUCUAGAAUCCACACAGGAGAGAAGCCCCAUAAAUGUGAGAUGUGUGGGAAGGCCGUCAGUCAGUUCUCAAGCCUUCAAGUGCAUCAGAGAGUCCACACUGGAGAGAAACCAUAUCAGUGUGCAGUGUGUGGGAAAGGCUUCAGUGUGGGCUCACAGCUGCAGGCCCAUCAGAGGUGCCAUACUGGAGAGAAACCCUACCACUAUGAGGAAUGUGGGAAAGGCUUCUGUCGGGCCUCAAAAUUUCUGGCUCACCGUGGAGUCCACACAGAAGAGAAACCACACCAAUGUGAUGUGUGCGGUAAGCGCUUCAGACAGAGAUCAUACCUUCAAGCCCACCAGAGGGUUCACACUGGAGAGAAACCAUAUAAGUGUGAGGAGUGUGGUAAGGUCUUCAGUUGGAGCUCCAAUCUUACCAUUCAUCAGCGACUCCAUGCUGGGGAUGAGGGUGACAAGGACUUUGCCUCAGCAGAGAAUACAUACAGCAGAGAAUCUUUAUAAAAUUGCAUGUGUUAAUAUCUCACAUGCGUGCUGAAAUAGUCCUGUCAUAGAAAACAAAACAUUUAUCUCCUUGAGAACUUGCAAAGUGUCAUGGUGGUUGGGUGACCACACAGCAGAGAAGUCUCAUGAGUGUAGAGACAGAGAGCUUCACUCAUAACCUUCACAUUUAGCAGAUAACUACACGGAUGAGAGGUGUGGGAAGGAUGGAUCCGAUCUGGAGGGAACCAAAUGUUCUAAGACAGAAAUGCCUGAAUCUCUUCCACUAGAAUAAAAGCUCCCAGAAGGCAUGGACUUUGUUUACAGCAAGUCCACUUUGCCUUUUCAGUGCCUACCACACUGCAGGUGUCGAGCAAUGUGAAAUAAGUGAAAGGGAGAACAGUCACUUUUGAAAUUUUUAUUGAGUUCCUCUCUAAAAUUUUCUAUAAACUUGUAGACAGAGGAAUUUUCUAAGGAUUGGAGGAUUACAUUAGACACUUGGGGUCAUCUUCCCAACCCUGAAGGUCUUGUGAACUAGUGCUUAUCAAACUGAAGGUGAUAACCCAUUAGUGAGUCCAGAACCACCAGGUUGUGUAUGGGCAGCAAUUUUGUAUGUUAACAGUUCCUUAUUGAGAUGUAAUUUGCAUGCAAGCACAUGCAUAAAUCUCAUGUUUACAGCUUCAUGAAUUUUGACAAAUGUAUCUACUUGUGUAAUCACGAAAAUCAAUAUAUACCACAUUUCUAUUAAACCUGAAUGUUUCCUUGUGUACCAUUCUUGUGAGUUCCACCUCCAGUGGCAGCAAGUAUGAUAA